CACUUACAAGAGUUUUUUAAUGCCUGACAAUUAUAUGAAACAUGACAAAGACACCCACAGAAGAGUUGUUAAACAUUCAGUGUUAAAAGGGCUUUCAUAAUCUCCUAACAUGCUGAGUUAUAGAAUCUCUUCCAAGUUUUGGUAAACCUCUGAAUUGAUUUCCUCUCCCCUCCCCCACAAAAAGGAACAUUAAACAUUUUUAUAUACAUUAAAAGUUCUAAUAAGUAAGACUUCUAGAAUUUUGUAGGUUCUGAUAACUGUGUUGAUUUUGGUUAAUUGUAUUGAAUGCAGUGGUGGGGGAUGGAUGGUGAAGACAUUCAAUAGCAGAAUAUAGCACUAAAUGUUUUCCUGUGAUAGUCUGAUAAAUUUGACCUCUGAUUUUUUUGAUAUUUUAGUUUAAAUGACUUCAGUUUCUGAGUGUAGGAUAUAGUUAACCCUUGAGUGCAUUUAAAGUGUAGGAAAUGUGGGAUGGGGGAGGGUGACAGAAAUAUUCUUUGUGGAUUGGAUAAAAUUCUUAACUGUGACUGCCACACCAGAACACCAUCUUUAUUUCCCUCUGAUCUAAAUUGCUAAAUCAUACUUCUGUUUUCCAUUUUAAUUAAAGAGCAGAAUAUUCUACUUUAUGGUGAUCAUGACAUCAUGAAUAAAAUGAGAUUCUAUACCUAGGCCAACUUAAGCCCAUUUAAGACACCUGACAUUUGAUAUUGUCUAAUUGAUGUGUUAAUUAUAUCUACAUUGUCCAGGUUCCAUUCCUGGAUCAAGUGUGACCAUCAAAAAAAAUUACCUGGACUACAUUAUUUCAAUUCUUUGAAGAAAUACCUUUAAUCACUUACUGUGUGUCAUGUUCUUUGACUUUAGCAGAGGGUCAUAAUGAAUACAGUCUUAGAAAAUGUUUCUCUAUGUCUUUUAUGAAAUGUUUUAUAAAUGUUUCUAUAUAUUUUUUAUAAAAUUAUGAAGAAACUGCCCUUUACAUAAGGACUCAUUCUUGAUUCUAGCUUCAUAAAAGAUCUCAUCUCUGCAAACAAAUCUCUAUGUUUUCUUUAAUAAGGAAAAGAAAACUAUGUAAUCCAACCUCUUCCUGCCAGGAAACUCAUGGCCAAGUGUCAUUUUUCACCCUAAGGACUUAAAAAGAUCGAAGCCUUUUGCUUUCUUCAGAGGAACCUUGACUGGCUGAUUCUAAAUGCUUUACUAUACAUUUAUUUUGGCCUGUGAGCCUCUGUAGUCCUUUUCAAGAUGAGGGACAAAUGUGAACCAUAUAAAGGAGGGGAUAAAAUCAGCCUACAUUUUUUGAUUGAAGCCUAAAAAGUUUAAUAAUGCAUUUAAUAGUUGCAUUGAAAAUAACAUUGAAAUUCUCAUACUUCUAAGAUGCUAAUUUUCUUUACAGCAUCACUGAAGCAUAUUAUUAGUUACUAUUAUUGGAAUGAAUACUCUGUAUGAAGCACUAUAUUGUUUGAUUAGAAUGUAUGCUCUUUGAGAGCAGAGAUAGUUUUUAUUUGUAUCUCCAGUUCCCAGCUUGUUACAUAAGGAGAUAUUUAAUGAAUGCAUGUUCAUUGACUGAUUGAUUCAAAGAUCCAUGGACCAGAAUUCAGAUAUCUAAUCCUAGCUCUGCUGUUAAUCAUUGAACACUGUAAGUACUUCUAAGUUUUACUUUUUAAAAAAAAAGAAUAAUUUUAUUGAUUAUUAACUUAGGUAUAUGAUUUGAUUAGGAGUAAUGCACCUUUGAGAAAUAGGAUAUAAAAUGAACAUCUUUGAGUAUCUUUAACAUUUGUUCAGCUCUCAUAUUCAGCUUAAAAAUAUAGUCUCUGGGAAAAUGUCUAUAUAACAUUCAAUAGAAUGAACAUGACUGGAAUGUACUUUGAAGUUUUCUGGGAUUUUCAUUUUUUCAUUUCAUCAAAAAAUUAAAAAAAUAGAGUGAAAAUUUUCUUCUUUUAAAAGGAAAUUACUGUGAUAGUUAUGAUGCUAUAAAA
Long non-coding RNA from Sarcophilus harrisii (Tasmanian devil), 1967 nucleotides. NCBI's taxonomy places the organism in Eukaryota, Metazoa, Chordata, Mammalia, Dasyuromorphia, Dasyuridae. The record is from Ensembl.